RNAcentral lists this long non-coding RNA (1284 nucleotides) under Homo sapiens (human). RNAcentral's name for it is "long intergenic non-protein coding RNA 571". The record is from RNAcentral. Lineage: Eukaryota; Metazoa; Chordata; Mammalia; Primates; Hominidae.
GCCAAGCUGACACUUAGCGAGCAAGUACGGACCUCUCCUCGCAGGCUCCGGUGGGAAAGGCUCCUGGAAGGGCGCGAGCCAGGAAAGUAGAUGAAGUGAAGAGAUGAAGACUGCGUGGGGUAGUUGUUGGAAAAGCUCGGAUCAUCCCCAACCCAGCCCCGUCUUGUCCGGCCCCAAAAGGCCCAUCUCGGCCGAGCUACUCACACUUUGUACGGCAGCCGUGGGUCCGACGUCAGCGUGAUCUUAAAGGAAACCUUCGACCUGAGGAAAAGAGCGGGAGAGAGUCAGGGUCGGGCAGCUGGACCAGGAAUUAUGGCAGUCGAUUGAUGUCAGAGUGGGAUUCAAAGUAGAACUUCAGUGACUCCAAGGAGCACCAAGUCACCAAAAGUUGGCCUUCUGUAUCCAUGAGUUCCAUAUGAGUGGAUUCAACCAACUGUAGAUUGCCAAAAGAUAAAAACAAGCAAGAAAGCAAACAAAUAAAAGUAACAACAAAAUUUAAGAACCCCUUGCAUGGAAGGAUGCUUAUUUCCUCUGGACUGAAAGAUGGCAUCAGAAGUGGGAUCUAAAGUAAAGCUUCUAACAAUCCCCAUGAGCACUGAGUGACCAAGCAAGGUACACGCCAGGCCUGUUCUGUCUGUUGCUCUCACAGAGGAGCUGGGGAUCGUGGAGGUUCAUGACAGGAUGAAAAGAAACCUGAGAAGCACUCUUGAAGAGAGGUUUCUGAAUAACUUUCGAAUCAUAUCAUUUGGACUGGAUGACAGAAACUUCAUCUGCAUUGGCUUCGGCAAAGCAGAAAUUUAUUAGCUUACAAGGGAGAGUGGAUUGUCAUUGAGACAUAUGUUCUGCUUACGUGGAGAGUAACUUGAGCAACGUUACCCACCUCUAUGUGGAAACACAGGUUUAUUUAGUAUGUUGAAAUUCCAGACAUAACUAUCUGUUCAGUAGCAGUGGUUCCUAUAAGACAACAACUUCACUGUUCAUUUUGUGCUAGUAGAAUGGAACUUCACGGACCUUGGAGAAGCAUACUCCAAACACUACAAAUGAUGGUUAUACUUUGGAGAGAUGCUAAGACAGCAGAUGCUAAAAUCCAGAUACCUUUUGUGAAUAUGAGGCAUAUCUACUGGGAACACAUCAUAAUAAUCUGUUGAGGUAAACAUUAAAGAUGGUGGCAAUAAGCAGUUGGAGAAAAAGAAAAAUAUCAACAUGCAAGGCACCAUUGUUUUCUUGCUUCUUAAUUGUAACUUUUUAUUUUUUGUGUAUAUGGCUAUCACAGAGAUUUAAAAA